AUCGCAAUAGCGAUCGCAACAACCUCAUCAUGAAGCGAUUUCGUCGUGAAGCGGGGUAAUCAUCAAGCGGGGCACCACUGUACCGCUAAACUUUUCCAGUUUUCUAACAUCUUUUUAAGGAGAAAAUAAUCUUCUUUCUCUUUCUCUUUUUCUUCAUAUCAUCAUGCCAAAGGCCAGGCUGGGAAGAAUUCCCCGCCCUUUUUGACGACAUGAAACAGACAAUCAAGCAGCAUAUGAAACAAACCAAAGAUUUCCUCCAGGCCAUCUAUCUAUAGGCCACUCCACUCCCCAUGUCCACGGGCCCUUUGACCAGUGUACACUUAUACCUAAGACAUGGACCUGAUUGAUACCUGUUUUUUCUGAAUUGCAGAUACAUGGAGCGAGUGUGCACUGUUCAAAGGGCGAGCCUAAGCAAUGACCAGCUGCUUGUGCACAAGCUUUCUUAAUACAAACAGGCCUGUCUCUUCUAAACUAUUAAAAUUUGUGGUUUUUGUUAUGGCCCAGUCCUUGUGGAACGGACUUCCACCGGAGAAGCACAUAAUACUACCAGUAUCUUCAGAAAGCCUGAUAUGAUCUGAGUGAACCUUUUCAUCUGACCCAAACACUAAAUCCAUAAUGUUUACAAAAGUACAGCUGAUCAGUGAGAAACACAAAGUGAACCCUGGCUGAAUCAGAAGUGGGGAAGAGUGAAAGAAAAGAGGAACCUGCAAUGCUGAAUUUGGAAGCAGACCUUUGAAGAAAAGAAGGAGUGCACAGAUUAAGUCUUCAUAUAAAAUGCCAUGGGCUUCCGAUUCUCCACCUGUGGGAAGCCAUCAUAAAAUAGCAGGCUGGCUUUCUCGUAGAAGGGCCUGCACUUUGUGUUUAACCCUGUAUGUCGAUUUGUGAAUAAAGCCACAACCUAUGACA
RNAcentral lists this long non-coding RNA (906 nucleotides) under Pogona vitticeps (central bearded dragon). Its description in RNAcentral is "lncRNA (ENSPVIG00000004159.1)". The record is from RNAcentral. Lineage: Eukaryota; Metazoa; Chordata; Lepidosauria; Squamata; Agamidae.